This is a small nuclear RNA of Dipodomys spectabilis (banner-tailed kangaroo rat), 107 nucleotides long. The record is from RefSeq and is a predicted model, not a curated record. Lineage: Eukaryota; Metazoa; Chordata; Mammalia; Rodentia; Heteromyidae.
GUGCUCGCUUCGGCGGCACAUGUACUAAAAUUAGAACGAUACAGAGAAGAUUAGCAUGGCCCUUGUGCAAGGAUGACACACAAAUUUGUGAAGUGUUCCAUAUUUGG